CGGCACGGGUGAGUAACACGUAUCCAACCUGCCGUCUACUCUUGGCCAGCCUUCUGAAAGGAAGAUUAAUCCAGGAUGGCAUCAUGAGUUCACAUGUCCGCAUGAUUAAAGGUAUUUUCCGGUAGACGAUGGGGAUGCGUUCCAUUAGAUAGUAGGCGGGGUAACGGCCCACCUAGUCGACGAUGGAUAGGGGUUCUGAGAGGAAGGCCCCCCACAUUGGAACUGAGACACGGUCCAA
This 238-nucleotide ribosomal RNA is filed under the name uncultured bacterium. RNAcentral's name for it is "partial 16S ribosomal RNA". It matches the Rfam family "Bacterial small subunit ribosomal RNA", at positions 100 to 334 of the family's 1533-position model. The record is from RNAcentral.